GAGUAAUGAAGUUAAGUGGUUGGGGUGAGCUUGAAUGCUUUAUUUUUUUAAUAUUUAAAACAACGUCAGCUGAGUACCAGGUGUGAAGUAGAGGUAAUGACUGAAUAAAACCAAGAGAAAGGGGAGAUUUGUUCCAACCGCAGAAUUUCCAAUUUCUGCAACAAGAGCUCUUACCUUCAGCCCCACUGCGCCUGCUCUAGGCUCUCCUCUGAUCCUCAGGACAUUUUUCCUCUCACUCUUUGAGAACUCGUUUACCUUCCUCUUCCAUCAAUGUUUGAUCACCCAGAGAAGGUGGGAGAAUAAAUACCAAGCACUGUGCCUUCCCUCAAGGAGCGUUUAAUCCAGUGUCACUGCUGACUUCCUGUGGAUAAUGCAAAGUUGGCUUACAAUAGUAAGGGAGACCACUAAAUUGACAGAAUCUUUGUAGCAUUUCAAAAGGGUGUCAGGCCUCUGAGCCCAAGCUAAGCCAUCAUAUCCCCAGUGACCUGCACAUACACAUCCAGAUGACCUGAAGCAACUGAAGAUCCACAAAAAAAGUGAAAAUAGCCUUAACUGAUAACAUUCCACCAUUGUGAUUUAUUUCUGCCCCAACCUAACUGAUCAAUGUACUUUGUAAUCUCCUCCACCCUUAGGAAGGUUCUUUAUAAUCUCCCCCAUCCUUAAGAAGAUUCCUUGUAAUUCUCCCCACCCUUGAGAAUGUACUUUGUGAGAUAUGCCCCCUGUCCCCAAAACAUUGCUCUUAACUCCACCGCCUAUCCCAAAACCUAUAAGAACUAAUGAUAAUCCCACCACCUUUUGCUGACUCCUUUUUCGGACUCAGCCCGCCUGCACCCAGGUGAAAUAAACAGCCUUGUUUUUCACACAAA
Molecule: small RNA, 866 nt
Filed under: Pongo abelii (Sumatran orangutan)
Lineage: Eukaryota; Metazoa; Chordata; Mammalia; Primates; Hominidae
Description: sense intronic
Source: RNAcentral